This 2466-nucleotide ribosomal RNA is filed under the name bacterium AB1. RNAcentral's name for it is "bacterial LSU rRNA". It matches the Rfam family "Bacterial large subunit ribosomal RNA", at positions 14 to 2619 of the family's 2925-position model. The record is from RNAcentral.
AAGGCAUGUAGUGAAUUCCUAGGCACCAUAUAGCGAAGAAGGGCGCUAAAAUGCGAAAAUUUUCGAUGAGUAACAACGUAGAUUCGAAAGUACCCGAAUGGGAUAACCCGUUGCAUAAGCAACAUAUAUAUUUGAAUAUAUAGAAUAUAUAAGCAUACCCAUAGAACUGAAACAUCUUAGUAUAUGGAGGAAAAGAAAUCAAUAGAGAUUCCGUAAGUAGUGGCGAACGAAAGCGGAUUAGGCUAUUCUCCCUUGGGAGAAUACAUAAAUUUUUAAAAUAGCAGAAUUGUAUGGAAAGACAAACAGUAUAAAGUGAUAGUCUUGUAUGCGAAAUUAAGAAAAUUUAUGAAAUAAAGUAGAUGCUUUAAGAUAGCAUUGAAGAACUUAAUGAAAAUUAAGGAGGGUGGUCCAUCAUCCAAGCCUAAAUACAAUAUGGUGACCGAUAGUGAAAAGUACCGCGAGGGAAAGGUGAAAUAAUGUUCGAGUAGAACAGUGAAAUUACAAUGAAACUAUAAUGCUGACAAAAGGGGAUGGCACGCAAUGUUGUGUUUUCCCGUACCUUUUGCAUAAUGAGUCAACGACUUAACAUACUAGGCUGGCUUAAGCUCUUAAUGGAGCGUAGGCAUAGUGAAAGCGAGCUUUAAAUGAGCGAAUUGUCUAUUGUGUUAUACCCGAAAACAAGCGAUCUAAUCAUGUCCAGGCUGAAGAUUUUUAAAUAGAAAAUUGGAGGGCCGAACCAGUGUUUGUUGCAAGAAACUUGGAUGAGGUGUGAUUAGGGGUGAAAGGCCAAUCAAGCUUGUAUUUAGCUGGUUCUCCCUGAAAACUAUUUAAGUAGUGUGUGUUGUAUACCCUAGAGGGGUAAAUCACUUGUUCAAUCCGGCUGAAAGGUUAGGUGAGAGUUAAAAUAAGAAUACUCUAGGUUUAGCAGCAUAAACGGACGGUGGGCGAAAAUGUCAAUCGUCGAGAGGUAAACAAACCAGAUCUUAAGCUAAGGUCCCUAAAUAUUACUAAGUCAAAAGAAUGUUGUAAUUCAAAGACAGUCAGAAUGUUGGCUUGGAAGCAGCCAUCAUCUAAGGAAAGCGUAACAGCUCACUGAUAUAUGUUUUACAGCUUCAAAAAUUUAGAGGGGUUUAAGUAAUAUACCGAAGCUAAGGGGUUAUACUAAGAGAUAUAGUAUAAUCGGUAAGGGAGCGUUCUGUAGGUCUGUGAAGAUGUAUCUGUGAGGAGCAUUGGAGAUAUCAGAAGUGAGGAUGUUGAUAUGAGUAACUAUAAAAUGAGUGAGAAUCUCAUUCGCCGAAAGUCUAAGGUUUCCUUUCAUAGGAUUAUCCGGGAAGGGUUAGUCAGUACCUAAGGAGAGAACGAAAGUUGUAUUCGAUGGACGAGCAGGUUAAUAUUCCUGCACUUUUUAAUAGCGACACAGAGAAAAUUGGUGUAUGAAUUAUGACUAUUUCAUGCUACGAUAAAUCUGUCUAGAAAUAACUAUUAUAUUAAAGCUGUACUAAAACCGACACAGGUAGACUGGUGAAAAACACUAAGGCGUUAAGAGAAUGAUAUUUAAGGAAUUCGGCAAAAUACCCUCGUAACUUAGGGAUAAGAGGGGGUGUAUUGUAGGCAACUAUAAGUACACUGUCACUAAAAAGAAUACAGCGACUGUUUACCAAAAACACAGGCAUCUGCAAAAUUGAGAAAUGAAGUAUUGGUGCUGAGGCCUGCCCAGUGUCCUAAGGUCAAAAGGAGAUGUUUAAAAAGCAUUGAAUAUAAGCCAGGAUAAACGGCGGCGAUAACUAUAAUCGUCCAAAGGUAGCGAAGUUCCUUGUCGAGUAAUUUUCGACGUGCAUGAAAGGUUUAACGACUGUAUUGCUGUCUUAAAUAUCUACUUAGUGAAAUUUUAGUCCCUGUACUAAUACAGGGAACACACGGUUAGACGGAAAGUCCCUAUGACUUUUACUGCAACUUUGUAUUGAUUUAACAUUUAUAGUACGUAGAAUAGAGGGGAGUCUAUGAAGCAUGAUCUUCGGGUUGUGUGGAGACGACAAUGAAAUACCUUCUACUAUAUAAUGUUGAAUCUAACUUAAUAACCAUGAAUCUGGUAUAAGGACAGUGCAUGGGUGGUAGUUUUGCUGGGGCAGCAUUCUCCUAAAGAGUAAUGGAGAAGCACAAAGGUAAGUUCAGUAUGUAUAGAAAGCAUACGAUGAGUGUAAUAAUAUAAACUUGCCUGACUGAGAGACUGACAAGUCGAACAGGCGCGAAAGCGGGUUAUAAUGAUCCUGUAGUACCUCAUGGUAGGGCUACAGCUCAACGGAUAAAAAGUACCAUAGGGAUAACAGAUUAAUCCCUCCUGAGAGACCUUAUCGACGGAGGGGUUUGAUACAUCGAUGUCGGCUCCUAACAUCCUGGGGGUGUAGCAAUUCCCAAGGGUUUGUUUGUUCACCAAUUAAAGUUGGACGUGAGCUGGGUUCAGUGCGU